GAUGAAUUAAAAGGGAAUUGAAGAAAUUAGUCCACAGUAAAUUGUCGAAGUGCUGCAUUGAGCAUUUGUUCCAAUUCUCAUAUUUUGGUUUAAAAGUGGCAAUUAAGUUAAUAAUACGACCGUAUCAGCCCAUCCUUGCAAGCUUGUUGUCUUGGUGUUUUCUUUAAAUCAGGCCUCACCUUUGAGCCUGAAGUCCAGUAUGUUGCUAAAUCCUGUCGAUUCCACCUUAAAAAUAAUCCCUGCACCCGCCACUUUCUUAUGCAAAAGACGCUUCUAAGGAGAUUGUUCGUGUUGUAGUAAUUUUUUGCAUUGAUUUUUUUGUAAUUCCCUCUUAACUGGUCUUCCCAGAAGCCGUACUGCCCUGUUAAUGUGUAAUGAAUGCUGCCGCCAGGCUGAUUUUCCUCUCCAGUCACUCCUGUUAUUCCUUACAGUGGCUUCUCAUAUCCUAUAGGAGUCAAGUUAAAAUCUUAACUCUUGCCUAUAAAGCAAUUAACUCUACCCAGUUAUUCCUUCACUGAUUCAUAGGUAUGCCCCUUCUUGAUCUCUCUGCUCUGCCGGUGACCGCCUCCUGUCCGCUCUUCGCACCCAAAAUGCUAACUCACGCUUGCAAGACUUCUCAUGGAUAGCUCUUCUCCUUUGGAACAGCCUGCCUACCACCAUCAGACUUUCCGCUAGUCUUUAAUUGUUUAAGAAGUCCCUCAAAACCUAACUCUUCAGGAAAGCUUAUGGCCUCCCAGAGUGACUUCUACCUCACAUACCGGUCUCCUGCUCUCUUCUAAAGGGCAGCACUCCACACUCUUUCCUCCAGUUCUGCUUCACGCCCACCUUGUUUGGUGGCUAUCCCACUCAAUGCCUGUCCAAUUGUGCUUUAUACUCCACUCCUAUAGACUGUAAGCUCAUUUGAGCAGGGUCCAUGUCAGACUACUGAUACUGUAACAUUUUGUAUUUGUCUCAUUUAUGGUUUAUUUUCCCCCUCUUUAUAACAUUGUAAAGCUCUGCUGAAUAUAU
Molecule: non-coding RNA, 1008 nt
Organism: Pelobates cultripes (western spadefoot toad)
Lineage: Eukaryota; Metazoa; Chordata; Amphibia; Anura; Pelobatidae
Source: the annotation of a GenBank genome assembly